AUUUCCGGUUUUAUGUAAUGCAUUUAGCUCGUUCCAUUCUCAAUUCUCAUCCAUUUCGUUCGAAGCUGGCGACUAAGCAAGAUGAUCUUCAUUGCAAUCGCUUAUAUAUGCUGAACGUUUACUUCGCACCUUUAUAAUAAUGGCGAUAAAAUAAUGCUUCAGCUUGAGUGGCUAGCACGCCAAUACUGG
Molecule: long non-coding RNA, 189 nt
Organism: Polistes dominula (European paper wasp)
Lineage: Eukaryota; Metazoa; Arthropoda; Insecta; Hymenoptera; Vespidae
Source: RefSeq, a predicted model, not a curated record